CCUCUAUCUAGUCUCUCUGCGCCAGGCCGCCCCACCGCAGCGCCCACGCCCAAGGUACACUCGACGCCAUUCGCUUUUGCUAGCUCCAAUUUGCGCCUUCUUUCCAAGCCAGGAUCUCGCAGUUGCCAUGGCGUCGCGGCUCCGAUCCAUCGCUAGGGCUCUUGGAAUGUAGCGUCGGGGAAGACUCGUCUAUCUUGGAAGAGGGUUUGGCGGCGAAUCCCGCAGCAAUGUGGCAGCAGCAGCAGCAACAGCAAUCCGAGUGGAGGAAUGCGAAUCAUCCAUUCUGGCAGCAGUACCAGCGGCAGCAGCAGUACCAGCAGCAGCAGCAGCAGCAGUGGAGGAAUCAAAACCAGAGCUGGCACGAUUUUCCUCGCGAGUUUCCACAGGCGCCACUAAACAGCCCCCGAUAUAUUGGCGAUGGAACGCGCAGGACUUCUCAAGGGCCUGGAACUGGAGCAAGGGCGGCCUUUCAACCCAAGAGAUCGUGGAACCAAAGAGACAAUAGGAAUUGGUAAGGUGGGAGGUUUGUGAGGCAGGAUGAUACUCGACGCUGGCUCCAUUCUAAAGCACCUUUCGAGAUUUCUCUCGUACAACAUUCUAGCCGCCGACAAUGCUCGGGAGCAUUAUCGUGAGCUCUACUAUCACAUCCCAAUGCGCUAUGUCAAAUGGGACUGGAGAAAAGUGCGCUAGGUGCAAGAAAUCGAGUACUGGUCACCGGACAUUCUUUGUUUGCAGGAGGUCGAUCGCUUUGCAGAUUUGCAAGGCGAGCUAGUGAAGAGAGGAUAUGCCAGGAUGUUCAAGGUAUGUUCCCUCUUCUUUUGUACUGAAACCAUCAGUGUCGAAUUGGCACUGCCACUGGAUGGGUGUGCAAUCUUUUGGAGAGAGAAAAGGUUUGCAAUUUUGCAUUUUUUUUUGUAUUCCAAGUGUGUGAGUGUUGAGUUAUAUUUUGUUAAAGAUGGAUUUAUGAAAGAUCAUUUAGUAAUUAUUUGUAGA
Molecule: long non-coding RNA, 993 nt
Organism: Selaginella moellendorffii
Lineage: Eukaryota; Viridiplantae; Streptophyta; Lycopodiopsida; Selaginellales; Selaginellaceae
Exons: 3
Source: RefSeq, a predicted model, not a curated record